Molecule: ribosomal RNA, 446 nt
Filed under: uncultured bacterium
Lineage: Bacteria
Description: partial 16S ribosomal RNA
Rfam family: Bacterial small subunit ribosomal RNA
Source: RNAcentral
CCUACGGGUGGCAGCAGUCGAGAAUCAUUCACAAUGGGGGAAACCCUGAUGGUGCGACGCCGCGUGGGGGAAUGAAGGUCUUCGGAUUGAAAACCCCUGUCAUGUGGGAGCAAAUUAAAAAGAUAGUACCACAAGAGGAAGAGACGGCUAACUCUGGGCCAGCAGCCGCGGUAAUACAGAGGUCUCAAGCGUUGUGCGGAAUCACUGGGCGUAACGCGUGCGUAGGCUGUUUCGUAAGUCGUGUGUGAAAGGCGCCGGCUCAACCCGCGGACGGCACAUGAUACUGCUAGACUAGAGUAAUGGAGGGGGAACCGGAAUUCUCGGUGUAGCAGUGAAAUGCGUAGAUAUCGAGAGGAACACUCGUGGCGAAGGCGGGUUCCUGGACAUUAACUGACGCUGAGGCACGAAGGCCAGGGGAGCGAAAGGGAUUAGAUACCCUUGUAGUC